This 500-nucleotide ribosomal RNA is filed under the name uncultured bacterium. RNAcentral describes it as "partial 16S ribosomal RNA". It matches the Rfam family "Bacterial small subunit ribosomal RNA", at positions 30 to 523 of the family's 1533-position model. The record is from RNAcentral.
AUUGAACGCUGGCGGCAUGCUUUACACAUGCAAGUCGAACGGUAACAGGGAGCUUGCUCCGCUGACGAGUGGCGAACGGGUGAGUAAUAUAUCGGAACGUGCCCAAGAGUGGGGGAUAACGUAGCGAAAGUUACGCUAAUACCGCAUACGAUCCAAGGAUGAAAGCAGGGGACCUUCGGGCCUUGUGCUCCUGGAGCGGCCGAUAUCCGAUUAGCUAGUUGGUGAGGUAAAGGCUCACCAAGGCGACGAUCAGUAGCUGGUCUGAGAGGACGACCAGCCACGCUGGAACUGAGACACGGUCCAGACUCCUACGGGAGGCAGCAGUGGGGAAUUUUGGACAAUGGGGGCAACCCUGAUCCAGCAAUGCCGCGUGAGUGAAGAAGGCCUUCGGGUUGUAAAGCUCUUUUGUCAGGGAAGAAAAGGGUACGGCUAAUAUCCGUGCCUCAUGACGGUACCUGAAGAAUAAGCACCGGCUAACUACGUGCCAGCCGCCGCAGUAA